RNAcentral lists this transfer RNA (90 nucleotides) under Bacteroidia bacterium. RNAcentral describes it as "tRNA-Ser". It matches the Rfam family "tRNA". Rfam says of the family: Transfer RNA (tRNA) molecules are approximately 80 nucleotides in length. The record is from RNAcentral. Lineage: Bacteria; Pseudomonadati; Bacteroidota; Bacteroidia.
GGAGAGAUGCCAGAGUGGUCGAUUGGGGCGGUCUCGAAAACCGUUGUCCGGGUAACUGGACCGGGGGUUCGAAUCCCUCUCUCUCCGCAA